AAGCCAUUCAGGGCUCAUCCGGAAUCCAGGAAGUGUUUGGAUAUUGGAAAAACAAAAACAAAAAAAAACCUUUGUUCUGUAAGACAGUAUAGAAAGUUGGGAGAAAGGUCUACUCCAGGAUCAAGGAACUGGACCAACAGGACCCAAGGGAGAGUAUCAAAGGCAAAACAAAGGAAAAUGAGGACAACCCAAUACUCAGAAAAAAAAACGAGUAAUUCAUGGAUUCACAACGGGCAACAAACUAGAUGACUAUUAGGAAGAGAAGAGCAAACCUUAUGAUCUCAAAAUGAUUUCUUGUUCAUUUGCAUCCUCGCAUCAAUCUAGACUUUAAGAAAUAUGUGAUUUUUAAAUAAAUGGGUAUAUCUGCAUAAUA
This 373-nucleotide long non-coding RNA is filed under the name Homo sapiens (human). Its description in RNAcentral is "HSALNT0386769". The record is from RNAcentral. Lineage: Eukaryota; Metazoa; Chordata; Mammalia; Primates; Hominidae.